UGGGGAAUAUUGCACAAUGGGCGCAAGCCUGAUGCAGCCAUGCCGCGUGUAUGAAGAAGGCCUUCGGGUUGUAAAGUACUUUCAGUCGGGAGGAAGGUGGUAAGGUUAAUAACCUUAUCAAUUGACGUUACCGACAGAAGAAGCACCGGCUAACUCCGCGACAGCAGCCGCGGUAAUACGGAGGGUGCAAGCGUUAAUCGGAAUUACUGGGCGUAAAGCGCACGCAGGCGGUUGAUUGAGUCAGAUGUGAAAUCCCCGGGCUUAACCCGGGAAUUGCAUCUGAUACUGGUCAGCUAGAGUGUUGUAGAGGGGGGUAGAAUUCCAUGUGUAGCGGUGAAAUGCGUAGAGAUGUGGAGGAAGGCCGGUGGCGGAGGCGGCCCCCUGGACAAAGACUGACGCUCAGGUGCGAAAGCGUGGGGAGCAAACAGG
This 429-nucleotide ribosomal RNA is filed under the name Chloroflexota bacterium. Its description in RNAcentral is "Chloroflexi bacterium partial 16S ribosomal RNA". It matches the Rfam family "Bacterial small subunit ribosomal RNA", at positions 355 to 776 of the family's 1533-position model. The record is from RNAcentral. Lineage: Bacteria; Bacillati; Chloroflexota.